AUAAUAUAAGAUUUGGUCUGCCCACUGAGGAUUUGAAGGGCCGCGGUAUUUUGACCGUGCAAAGGUAGCAUAAUAAUUAGUUUCUUAAUUGGGAGCUGGUAUGAAUGGCUGGACGAGAAAGUUUCUGUCUCUAAUUAAUUUUUAAUGGAAUUUUAUUUUUGAGUAAAAAAGCUUAAAUUGUUUUGAAAGACGAGAAGACCCUAUAGAGUUUAAUUUUUAUUGUAAGUUGGGUAUUUAGGAAUUUAAUUAUUAAAUUUGUUUUAAAAAUUUUGUUGGGGUGAUGUAAAGAUUAAAUUAACUCUUUUUUUUAUUGUUACAUUGAUUUAUGAGUUUUUGAUCCAUUUUUAGUGAUUAUAAGAAUAAAUUACCUUAGGGAUAACAGCGUAAUCUUUUUUGAGAGUUCUUAUCGAAAUAAGGGAUUGCGACCUCGAUGUUGGAUUAAAAUUAAUUAUUGGUGCAGAAGCUAUAUGAUUGAGUCUGUUCGACUUUUGAAAUUUUACAUGAUCUGAGUUUAAACCGGCGUGAGCCAGGUUGGUUUCUAUCUUUAGAUAAUUAUAGUAUUUUAGUACGAAAGGACCAA
RNAcentral lists this ribosomal RNA (580 nucleotides) under Stenelmis sp. 3 MF-2023a. Its description in RNAcentral is "partial large subunit ribosomal RNA". It matches the Rfam family "Bacterial large subunit ribosomal RNA", at positions 1842 to 2695 of the family's 2925-position model. The record is from RNAcentral. Lineage: Eukaryota; Metazoa; Arthropoda; Insecta; Coleoptera; Elmidae.